CUGAUUCUGAGGAAUCUUGCACACUGCCUGCGUGGUGUGAGCUUGGCGUUUCUGCUGUGUGUCAGUUGCGUGGCGGCUGCGUGGCGUUUUCUAUGGAACUUUGUC
Long non-coding RNA from Etheostoma cragini (Arkansas darter), 105 nucleotides. RefSeq lists it as uncharacterized. The transcript has 3 exons. The record is from RefSeq and is a predicted model, not a curated record. NCBI's taxonomy places the organism in Eukaryota, Metazoa, Chordata, Actinopteri, Perciformes, Percidae.